RNAcentral lists this ribosomal RNA (492 nucleotides) under uncultured bacterium. RNAcentral describes it as "partial 16S ribosomal RNA". It matches the Rfam family "Bacterial small subunit ribosomal RNA", at positions 29 to 507 of the family's 1533-position model. The record is from RNAcentral.
AGUGAACGCUGGCGGUAGGCCUAACACAUGCAAGUCGAACGGCAGCACAGUAAGAGCUUGCUCUUACGGGUGGCGAGUGGCGGACGGGUGAGGAAUACAGCGGAAUCUACUUUUUCGUGGGGGAUAACGUAGGGAAACUUACGCUAAUACCGCAUACGACCUACGGGUGAAAGCAGGGGAUCUUCGGACCUUGCGCGAUUGAAUGAGCCGAUGUCGGAUUAGCUAGUUGGCGGGGUAAAGGCCCACCAAGGCGACGAUCCGUAGCUGGUCUGAGAGGAUGAUCAGCCCCACUGGAACUGAGACACGGUCCAGACUCCUACGGGAGGCAGCAGUGGGGAAUAUUGGACAAUGGGCGCAAGCCUGAUCCAGCCAUACCGCGUGGGUGAAGAAGGCCUUCGGGUUGUAAAGCCCUUUUGUUGGGAAAGAAAAGCAGCAGGUUAAUACCCCGCUGUUCUGACGGUACCCAAAGAAUAAGCACCGGCUAACUUCGUG